UCAAGUUUGAUGGCGACCGGCGCACGGGUGAGUAACACGUAUCCAACCUGCCGAUGACUCGGGGAUAGCCUUUCGAAAGAAGGAUUAAUACCCGAUGGCAUAGUUCUUCCGCAUGGUGGAACUAUUAAAGAAUUUCGGUCAUCGAUGGGAUGCGUUCCAUUAGGUUGUUGGCGGGGUAACGGCCCACCAAGCCUUCGAUGGAUAGGGGUUCUGAGAGGAAGGUCCCCCACAUUGGAACUGAGACACGGUCCAAACUCCUACGGGAGGCAGCAUG
RNAcentral lists this ribosomal RNA (274 nucleotides) under uncultured bacterium. RNAcentral describes it as "partial 16S ribosomal RNA". It matches the Rfam family "Bacterial small subunit ribosomal RNA", at positions 79 to 353 of the family's 1533-position model. The record is from RNAcentral.